GCGGCGUGCCUAAUACAUGCAAGUCGAGCGAACGGACGAGAAGCUUGCUUCUCUGAUGUUAGCGGCGGACGGGUGAGUAACACGUGGAUAACCUACCUAUAAGACUGGGAUAACUUCGGGAAACCGGAGCUAAUACCGGAUAAUAUUUUGAACCGCAUGGUUCAAAAGUGAAAGACGGUCUUGCUGUCACUUAUAGAUGGAUCCGCGCUGCAUUAGCUAGUUGGUAAGGUAACGGCUUACCAAGGCAACGAUGCAUAGCCGACCUGAGAGGGUGAUCGGCCACACUGGAACUGAGACACGGUCCAGACUCCUACGGGAGGCAGCAGUAGGGAAUCUUCCGCAAUGGGCGAAAGCCUGACGGUAGCAACGCCGCGUGAGUGAUGAAGGUCUUCGGAUCGUAAAACUCUGUUAUUAGGGAAGAACAUAUGUUGUAAGUAACUGUGCACAUCUUGACGGUACCUAAUCAGAAAGCCACGGCUAACUACGUGCCAGCAGCCGCGGUAAUACGUAGGUGGCAAGCGUUAUCCGGAAUUAUUGGGCGUAAAGCGCGCGUAGGCGGUUUUUUAAGUCUGAUGUGAAAGCCCACGGCUCAACCGUGGAGGGUCAUUGGAAACUGGAAAACUUGAGUGCAGAAGAGGAAAGUGGAAUUCCAUGUGUAGCGGUGAAAUGCGCAGAGAUAUGGAGGAACACCAGUGGCGAAGGCGACUUUCUGGUCUGUAACUGACGCUGAUG
This 732-nucleotide ribosomal RNA is filed under the name uncultured Staphylococcus sp. RNAcentral's name for it is "bacterial SSU rRNA". It matches the Rfam family "Bacterial small subunit ribosomal RNA", at positions 39 to 751 of the family's 1533-position model. The record is from RNAcentral. Lineage: Bacteria; Bacillati; Bacillota; Bacilli; Caryophanales; Staphylococcaceae.